Molecule: ribosomal RNA, 323 nt
Filed under: uncultured eukaryote
Lineage: Eukaryota
Description: partial 18S ribosomal RNA
Rfam family: Eukaryotic small subunit ribosomal RNA
Source: RNAcentral
CCCUUAGAUGUCCUGGGCCGCACGCGCGCUACACUGACAUGUUCAACAAGCCUCCUAGUUCGACAGGAUUUGGGAAAUCUUUGAACGCAUGUCGUGAUAGGGAUAGAUCAUUGCAAUUAUUGAUCUUGAACGAGGAAUUCCUAGUAAACGCGAGUCAUCAGCUCGCAUUGAUUACGUCCCUGCCCUUUGUACACACCGCCCGUCGCACCUACCGAUUGAACGUUCCGGUGAGGCCUUAGGAUUUUGGUCUAUUUCAUUUAUUUGAGAUUUACUAGAAGAAGUUGAGCAAACCUUAACGUUUAGAGGAAGGUGAAGUCGUAACA